AGGUUAAGUUAGAAAGGGCGCACGGUGAAUGCCUUGGCACUAGGAGCCGAUGAAGGACGGUACUAACACCGAUAUGCUUCGGGGAGCUGUAAGUAAGCUUUGAUCCGGAGAUUUCCGAAUGGGGAAACCCCCUAUCCGUAAUGGGAUAGGAUCUUUACCUGAAUACAUAGGGUAUGGAAGGCAGACCCGGGGAACUGAAACAUCUAAGUACCCGGAGGAAGAGAAAGCAAACGCGAUUCCCUGAGUAGCGGCGAGCGAAACGGGAUUAGCCCAAACCAGGAGGCUUGCCUCCUGGGGUUGUAGGACACUCUAUACGGAGUUACAAAGGAACGAGGUAAAUGAACAGGUCUGGAAAGGCCGGCCAGAGAAGGUAAAAGCCCUGUAGUUGAAACUUCGUUCCCUCCAGAGUGGAUCCUGAGUACGGCGGGACACGAGAAAUCCCGUCGGAAGCAGGGAGGACCAUCUCCCAAGGCUAAAUACUCCCUAGUGACCGAUAGUGAACCAGUACCGUGAGGGAAAGGUGAAAAGCACCCCGGAAGGGGAGUGAAAGAGAUCCUGAAACCGUGUGCCUACAAGUAGUUAGAGCCCGUUAAUGGGUGAUAGCGUGCCUUUUGUAGAAUGAACCGGCGAGUUACGAUUACAUGCGAGGUUAAGUUGAUAAGACGGAGCCGCAGCGAAAGCGAGUCUGAANNNNNNNNNNNNNNNNNNNNNNNNNNNNNNNNNNNNNNNNAGGGCGAAUGAGUAUGUGGUCGUAGACCCGAAACCAGGUGAUCUACCCAUGUCCAGGGUGAAGUCCAGGUAACACUGGAUGGAGGCCCGAACCCACGCACGUUGAAAAGUGCGGGGAUGAGGUGUGGGUAGCGGAGAAAUUCCAAUCGAACUUGGAGAUAGCUGGUUCUCUCCGAAAUAGCUUUAGGGCUAGCCUCAUGUAGUAAGAGUCUUGGAGGUAGAGCACUGUUUGGACUAGGGGCCCCCAUCGGGUUACCGAAUUCAGACAAACUCCGAAUGCCAAAGACUUAUCCAUGGGAGUCAGACUGCGAGUGAUAAGAUCCGUAGUCAAGAGGGAAACAGCCCAGACCACCAGCUAAGGUCCCAAAGUAUACGUUAAGUGGAAAAGGAUGUGGAGUUGCUUAGACAACCAGGAUGUUGGCUUAGAAGCAGCCACCAUUUAAAGAGUGCGUAAUAGCUCACUGGUCGAGUGACUCCGCGCCGAAAAUGUACCGGGGCUAAACGUAUCACCGAAGCUGUGGAUUGACAUCUU
RNAcentral lists this ribosomal RNA (1261 nucleotides) under Cytobacillus firmus. RNAcentral describes it as "partial 23S ribosomal RNA". It matches the Rfam family "Bacterial large subunit ribosomal RNA", at positions 1 to 1216 of the family's 2925-position model. The record is from RNAcentral. Lineage: Bacteria; Bacillati; Bacillota; Bacilli; Caryophanales; Bacillaceae.